Molecule: long non-coding RNA, 1821 nt
Organism: Alexandromys fortis (reed vole)
Lineage: Eukaryota; Metazoa; Chordata; Mammalia; Rodentia; Cricetidae
Exons: 2
Source: RefSeq, a predicted model, not a curated record
GUCCCCCUCCCUCGUCAGCCCAAAGAGCAACCAGGGUUCCCUGCCCUGUGGGAAGUCCAAGGACCACCCACCUCCAUCCAGGUCUAAUAAGGUGAGCAUCCAAACUGCCUAGGCUCCCACAAAACCAAUAGGUGCAGUAGGAUCAAAAACCCAUUGCCAUUGUUCUUGGGGUCUCAGUUUUUUUUUCUUCUUACUCUGUUUUUCUUUAUUUUCUUUCAAAUAUGGUACAUUUUAAUUUCCUGAAAUAAGUUUAGGAGAAAAAGCAAGAAACAUUCUAUAGAUUUUAGUUUUCUUUUUAACUUUGAAAGCUCGAGGUUAAAAAUAUAACUAUUAUAAGUUAUAUUUCUAUCUCAAUUGUUCUUUCUAUCUUCUGAAAUAACUACCUUUGAUGAGAUUAUGGAUUCCUUGACACUGGUGACCAUGCAAUGGUUCAUAAUAGCCUGUGAUAGAUGAUUGUUUCAGACAUGACAGGACCAGUUUGUUAACUUGUUUGUGCCAUGAAAUCUCACAAUAAUUACACUAUAAAAACUACAACUGAUUUGUAUUUCCAAGCCGGGCAGUGGUGGCACACGCCUUUAAUCCCAGCACUGGGGAGGCAGAGGCAGGCGGAUCUCUGCGAGUUCGAGGCCAGCCUGGUCUACAAGAGCUAGUUCCAGGACAGGCACCAAAAACUACAGAGAAACCCUGUCUCGAAAAUCAAAAAAAAAAAAAAAAAAAGAUUUGUAUUUCCCUCAAAAGCUAGUUCUUAAUAUCACACCACAAGAUGCCUAUAUCCCCAAUAUUUAGUGCCACAAAUACAGAAUGAAGUUAGAAUUAGAAACCAAGAGCUAGUAAAGGAGCCAGAUAAUGCAAGUUAAGUCAUUUACUGAGAUAACUGAGAUCUUACAUUACUUUGUAAACAUAUUCCUUGGCUCUUAAUCAUUUGCAUUUUGUAAAGACUUUUUUUUCCUACUUUAAGGAUGUCUACUUUUGUGGAACCCUCACCCCUUAUUCUCAAAGGGACUAGAAUUUCCUAGCAGAAUGUUUUCCCAGGAAGAUAGUGGCCUUCCCCUCUCCCACCCGAGAGAUUCCGAGCACAAGGUCACUUAGCCCAGCCAGUCAGCUACCUGGUACAGGCUGAUAAAGAUGGCCUGACUCAGGAAUGGCCUUGCUCUAAAAACAAGGAGAAAGCUGACUUAGCAGGAUGGGAAGGAGCAAAAGUCCUUGCACCCUUGCCAAAGCACCUUCUCAAAGCCUCUUUGUAGUUAUACCUUUAAAAGCCUACCCCACAGAGGAGAUACAAGCUGGAGAUGAGAUCCAAACAUGUUUGUAUUGUGCUGAUUAAACCUUGCUUAUUACAGUCUGGGCCUCUCUGUGUGGUCUCUCUCUGGGGGUCAUAAUCUGGGCACAACACUUUCAUGUAACUGUUGUGGGAAAGAGAAGACAUCGUUUAUAUGUACUUGCUGCUGCUUGCAACAAAGUUCAUAUCCGGUAGACCAAUUGCCUGUCUGAAGCUUGUCACUGAGAGUUUCCAUUCCUAGACAACAAAGCCUAUUUUAAAGUAGUGUGAAUGCUGUAAGUGGUGUACAUGCCUGUACUUUCAAACUUAAUCCAUAGUUCCCUUGUGAGACACUUAUCCUUGGCUCAUAUUCAUAAUCUCAAUUUCAUUAAUUUUGAUAGGAAAAGGUUUUUUUUGACUCAGCAACUAUUUUUUGUGUGUAUUUCAGUGUAAAUAUAUUUUGAAGUUACUGUGAAUCUCUAUUUAAAAAUUCUAUUCCUGUAAUUGUAUGCUAAACUUCUUUUCCUAUUUCGAAAAUAAACUGAAAGAUGUGAAGAAAAAUA